GGCCCUAUCGUCUAGUGGCCUAGGACGGAGCCCUCUCAAGGCUCAAACCCGGGUUCGAAUCCCGGUAGGGUCA
Molecule: transfer RNA, 73 nt
Filed under: Planctomycetaceae bacterium
Lineage: Bacteria; Pseudomonadati; Planctomycetota; Planctomycetia; Planctomycetales; Planctomycetaceae
Also listed under: 1 other name
Description: tRNA-Glu
Rfam family: tRNA
About the family: Transfer RNA (tRNA) molecules are approximately 80 nucleotides in length. Their secondary structure includes four short double-helical elements and three loops (D, anti-codon, and T loops). Further hydrogen bonds mediate the characteristic L-shaped molecular structure. tRNAs have two regions of fundamental functional importance: the anti-codon, which is responsible for specific mRNA codon recognition, and the 3' end, to which the tRNAs corresponding amino acid is attached (by aminoacyl-tRNA synthetases). tRNAs cope with the degeneracy of the genetic code in two manners: having more than one tRNA (with a specific anti-codon) for a particular amino acid; and 'wobble' base-pairing, i.e. permitting non-standard base-pairing at the 3rd anti-codon position.
Source: RNAcentral